AAUCCCCUGCUGUGUUCGACAGGACAUUCAUUCCUUGAACCAAUAUUUUGGCAUUGAGGUUGCCGAACAUGGCGUCGUCGUUGUGCGUGUUCCUUGCGAACGCGCCUGAAGCGGCCUGCAGGCGACCGACUUGAACCUCAGGUUCAGGAUGCCGGUCCUGACGGCACGAGCGGGGGACCC
This 180-nucleotide non-coding RNA is filed under the name Burkholderiales bacterium. RNAcentral describes it as "6S RNA". It matches the Rfam family "6S / SsrS RNA". From Rfam's summary of the family: E. coli 6S RNA was the first non coding RNA to be sequenced, but its function was unknown until recently. The record is from RNAcentral. Lineage: Bacteria; Pseudomonadati; Pseudomonadota; Betaproteobacteria; Burkholderiales.